RNAcentral lists this ribosomal RNA (250 nucleotides) under uncultured Corynebacterium sp. Its description in RNAcentral is "partial 16S ribosomal RNA". It matches the Rfam family "Bacterial small subunit ribosomal RNA", at positions 86 to 339 of the family's 1533-position model. The record is from RNAcentral. Lineage: Bacteria; Bacillati; Actinomycetota; Actinomycetes; Mycobacteriales; Corynebacteriaceae.
GGUGGAUUAGUGGCGAACGGGUGAGUAACACGUGGGUGAUCUGCCCUGCACUUCGGGAUAAGCCUGGGAAACUGGGUCUAAUACCGGAUAGGACCACUUCUUGGAUGUUGUGGUGGAAAGUUUUUUCGGUGUGGGAUGAGCUCGCGGCCUAUCAGCUUGUUGGUGGGGUAAUGGCCUACCAAGGCGUCGACGGGUAGCCGGCCUGAGAGGGUGUACGGCCACAUUGGGACUGAGAUACGGCCCAGACUCC